RNAcentral lists this ribosomal RNA (515 nucleotides) under bacterium symbiont of Megymenum gracilicorne. Its description in RNAcentral is "bacterial SSU rRNA". It matches the Rfam family "Bacterial small subunit ribosomal RNA", at positions 527 to 1041 of the family's 1533-position model. The record is from RNAcentral.
GAAGGGGGCUAGCGUUAUUCGGAAUUAUUGGGCGUAAAGGGCGCGUAGGCGGAUUAGUAAGUUAAAAGUGAAAUCCCAAGGCUCAACCUUGGAAUUGCUUUUAAAACUGCUAAUCUAGAGAUUGAAAGAGGAUAGAGGAAUUCCUAGUGUAGAGGUGAAAUUCGUAAAUAUUAGGAGGAACACCAGUGGCGAAGGCGUCUAUCUGGUUCAAAUCUGACGCUGAGGCGCGAAGGCGUGGGGAGCAAACAGGAUUAGAUACCCUGGUAGUCCACGCUGUAAACGAUGAAUGUUAAAUAUGGGGAGUUUACUUUCUGUAUUACAGCUAACGCGUUAAACAUUCCGCCUGGGGACUACGGUCGCAAGAUUAAAACUCAAAGGAAUUGACGGGGACCCGCACAAGCGGUGGAGCAUGUGGUUUAAUUCGAUGCAACGCGAAAAACCUUACCACUCCUUGACAUGGAAAUUAUACCUAUUCGAAGGGAUAGGGUCGGUUCGGCCGGGUUUCACACAGGUGU